Molecule: microRNA precursor, 99 nt
Filed under: Mandrillus leucophaeus (drill)
Lineage: Eukaryota; Metazoa; Chordata; Mammalia; Primates; Cercopithecidae
Description: miRNA (ENSMLEG00000007695.1)
Source: RNAcentral
GAGGUGGGAGGAUUGCUUGAGCCUGGGAGGUCGAGGCCGCAGUGAGCCAUGAUCAUGCCACUGCACUCCAGCCUGAGUGACAGAGUGAGACCUUGUCUC